AUGAGUGAAGAGAAAUUUAAAAAACAAUAUAGAGAGAGAGUGAGAGGUUUCUUUAUCAGUUAGUUUGACAUGAAAGAAGCUGCUGCUUUUGGGGGUGUUUUGUUCUUGAUUUUCAUGUUUCUUCUGUCGUUGUUACUUGUAACCAUGGCCGUAUUUGCUUGCUCCAAAAAGAAGGAAAAGAAGAAGGAUUCAAGUUGCUGUUGCUGCUGUAAAGGUGGCGUUUUUGGCGGUUGCAGUGGUGAUGGUGGUGGAGGAGGAGGGGGUUGCUAGAUAAGUAGAUAUAUCACUUGGGUACUGUUUCCGUACGUAUUUGAAUUUAUGACCAAUUUGCUUAGAACAUCUAGGCAUUACCUAAAGAACAACAUGUGCCUAAUCUUAUUAUCGUUAUGCUAAAGUAAAAUCAAAUAUCUAUUUGAUAUUAGUAUGAUCGGAUCCGAUUCUUGCAUCAUCCUACUAUCAGUUUCAUUCUACUUUAAUAGUUCCAUCGUUUGUAUUUUUUCUGCACAAACUAAUCAUCUUAAUGAAUAAUUUUAUCACCAUAUCAUGUUAAAAGAAAAUUUCGACGUAAAUAUAUCAUGUCAUGAUGUAUACAAGAGAAAAAUAUAUCUCAAUCAUAGUUUUUGUAUGUAUAUAUUUUAACAUUGUUUUGAUGUUAUUUGUCCAUAGUGUUGGUCGUUGGAAUCCAAAUAGCGAGUUAUUAUUAAACAAAA
Long non-coding RNA from Arabidopsis thaliana (thale cress), 710 nucleotides. RefSeq annotates it as other RNA. The transcript has a single exon. Lineage: Eukaryota; Viridiplantae; Streptophyta; Magnoliopsida; Brassicales; Brassicaceae. The record is from RefSeq.